This 490-nucleotide ribosomal RNA is filed under the name uncultured bacterium. Its description in RNAcentral is "partial 16S ribosomal RNA". It matches the Rfam family "Bacterial small subunit ribosomal RNA", at positions 29 to 507 of the family's 1533-position model. The record is from RNAcentral.
AAUGAACGCUGGCGGCAUGCCUUACACAUGCAAGUCGAACGGCAGCAUGACCUAGCUUGCUAGGUUGAUGGCGAGUGGCGAACGGGUGAGUAAUGCAUCGGAACGUGCCUUUUAGUGGGGGAUAACGUAGCGAAAGUUACGCUAAUACCGCAUAUUCUCUGAGGAGGAAAGCAGGGGGCCUUCGGGCCUUGCGCUAGAAGAGCGGCCGAUGUCGGAUUAGCUAGUUGGUGAGGUAAAGGCUCACCAAGGCAACGAUCCGUAGCGGGUCUGAGAGGAUGAUCCGCCACACUGGGACUGAGACACGGCCCAGACUCCUACGGGAGGCAGCAGUGGGGAAUUUUGGACAAUGGGCGCAAGCCUGAUCCAGCCAUGCCGCGUGAGUGAAGAAGGCCUUCGGGUUGUAAAGCUCUUUCGGCUGGGAAGAAAUCGCACUCUCUAAUACAGGGUGUGGAUGACGGUACCAGCAGAAGAAGCACCGGCUAACUACGUG